AUAAUGCCAGUGACACAAUGAAGAAGCAGUAGAAGAAAUUGAACAACAGUAUAGAAAAGGUGCAGGAAACUACUCCCUUCUGGAGGAGCCUAGUGCCCUGCCCAGAAACAAGGAAUGGGAGAGCCCCACAGUUUUUGCUGGGAAGAAGCACUGAACUUCUAGGGCACCAAGGACAUAAUGAAGGCUGAACACCAGGCAGUGAGUUUUGGCCGGGGCUGGGCUUGAACCCACCACCCCAGUAUAUGGGACCGGUGCCCUACUCCUUGAG
Molecule: long non-coding RNA, 268 nt
Organism: Nycticebus coucang (slow loris)
Lineage: Eukaryota; Metazoa; Chordata; Mammalia; Primates; Lorisidae
Exons: 3
Source: RefSeq, a predicted model, not a curated record